GUAGGGAAUAUUGCGCAAUGGACGAAAGUCUGACGCAGCGACGCCGCGUGAGUGAUGAAGGCCUUAGGGUCGUAAAGCUCUGUUGAAUGGGAAGAAAAAAAUGACGGUACCAUUCGAGGAAGGACCGGCUAACUUCGUGCCAGCAGCCGCGGUAAUACGAGGGGUCCUAGCGUUGUUCGGAAUCAUUGGGCGUAAAGGGUGUGUAGGUGGCCAUGUAAGUCAGGUGUGAAAGCCCCGGGCUCAACCCGGGAAGUGCACUUGUUACUGCGUGGCUUGAGUACCGAAGAGGGUAGUGGAAUUCCAGGUGUAGUGGUGAAAUACGUAGAUAUCUGGAGGAACACCGGUGGCGAAGGCGGCUACCUGGUCGAGUACUGACACUGAGGCACGAAAGCAUGGGGAUCAAACAGGAUUAGAUACCCGGGUAGUCC
RNAcentral lists this ribosomal RNA (428 nucleotides) under uncultured bacterium. RNAcentral's name for it is "partial 16S ribosomal RNA". It matches the Rfam family "Bacterial small subunit ribosomal RNA", at positions 354 to 796 of the family's 1533-position model. The record is from RNAcentral.